AAGUCGUAACAAGGUAACCGUAGGUGAACCUGCGGUUGGAUCAUUACAAAAAAUAUAUACCUUAAAGGGGGGAUUCCCCCCGCUUUAUCGUAGCCACCAAGUGGAAGUUUGGCAAAGAAACCGUAGCAUUCUCAACAACCUUUAUUGGUUGGCGAACCUGAUACUUAUUUUAAUCAACUUCCACGGUGGCAUUAUUCAAAUCAGUGCCCAAGCAAAUGAGGAGAAAAAUAAAAACAACAUGUGAAACGUUUCUGUCUCUGGCGAGCGGGCAGUCUAAACAACUGCUUGUCAGCAGGGUCCCUUUCUGGGGGCUCCUGCCGUGGACAACUCGUCAACCCCUUCUAUUUAACUUUUGCUGUACCUAGUUUGUCUGACAUCACCUGUAUAAAUAUACAAAACAACUUUUGGCAACGGAUCUCUUGGCUCUC
This 428-nucleotide unclassified non-coding RNA is filed under the name Powellomyces sp. RNAcentral's name for it is "partial internal transcribed spacer region". The stretch from base 1 to 46 matches the Rfam family "Eukaryotic small subunit ribosomal RNA", at positions 1786 to 1831 of the family's 1831-position model. Lineage: Eukaryota; Fungi; Chytridiomycota; Chytridiomycetes; Spizellomycetales; Powellomycetaceae. The record is from RNAcentral.